AGUGAGGGGAGCUAAGGAGGCACAGGGAUCUGAAAGGAGAGAGAACCAUGACAACUGACCUAAACUGGCCAAAGGAACAUUCCAUACCAUAUGAAACCAUGGGAAAUAAAACUUUAAAACUGUGAGGGUUUAGUCAGGCAGAAACCUCAACUUGAGGACUCGCUGGGCACUGGUUGAUGACUGUGUGCUGAAUGCAACCUGCUGUUGUUACUACCUGUGGGCAAGAUACAGUACAGGCUGGUUUCAGAACUAUGCCAUGAGAAUGGAAGACCAGCUGCCAGGACGUGUUCUGCUGCCAUAAGUAUUGGAAGUUUGCAAUGAUGUCUCUUCGGAGCCUUCUCUUCUCCAAGGUAAACAAGCGCAUCUCCCUCAGCCUUGCUUUGUAAGACAGAUGCUUCAGACCUCUUCAUCAUCUUCAUGGACCUCUUCUGGACCCACUCCAACAGCUCCAUGUAUUUCUUGGACAGGGAGCCCCAGGCCUGGACACAAUACUCCAGAUGGGUCCUCACAAGGGCAGAGUAGAGGGGGACAAUUGCCUCUCACUCCCUACUGGCCCCCUCUUUUUGAUGCAGACCAGGUUAAAAUAG
Molecule: long non-coding RNA, 587 nt
Organism: Gallus gallus (chicken)
Lineage: Eukaryota; Metazoa; Chordata; Aves; Galliformes; Phasianidae
Source: Ensembl